Zingiber officinale is the source of this 208-nucleotide long non-coding RNA. RefSeq lists it as uncharacterized. Lineage: Eukaryota; Viridiplantae; Streptophyta; Magnoliopsida; Zingiberales; Zingiberaceae. The transcript is spliced from 3 exons. The record is from RefSeq and is a predicted model, not a curated record.
UCCUCUGUGCCCUAGCUGUGAGCAUUUCUUCCUCCUCAGAGCAGUGGUGAUACGGUAUUGUGACAGAAAGAUCCUUGGUACAACAGAUUGGCGAUAUUAGAGUUGCCCUAUUCCGGCAGCCACUUUUUGUAGCAAUCGACAGCACCUUUCCUGCCUGUUGAAUUAAGGACUUUGAUUCGAGACGAGCAUCUCGACGUCCGAGUUGGAC